Molecule: ribosomal RNA, 450 nt
Filed under: uncultured bacterium
Lineage: Bacteria
Description: bacterial SSU rRNA
Rfam family: Bacterial small subunit ribosomal RNA
Source: RNAcentral
GCGCAAGCCUGACGGAGCAAGACCGCGUGAGGGAGGAAGGCUCUUGGGUUGUAAACCUCUUUUAUCAGGGAAGAAGAUCUGACGGUACCUGAUGAAUCAGCAUCGGCUAACUCCGUGCCAGCAGCCGCGGUAAUACGGAGGAUGCAAGCGUUAUCCGGAUUUAUUGGGCGUAAAGCGUCCGCAGGUGGUUUUUCAAGUCUGCUGUUAAAGCGCAGAGCUUAACUCUGUAACGGCGGUGGAAACUGAGAGACUAGAGUAUGGUAGGGGUUGCGGGAAUUCCCAGUGUAGCGGUGAAAUGCGUAGAUAUUGGGAAGAACACCAGCGGCGAAAGCGCGCAACUGGGCCAUUACUGACACUCAUGGACGAAAGCUAGGGGAGCGAAAGGGAUUAGAUACCCCUGUAGUCCUAGCUGUAAACGAUGGGUACUAGGUGUUGACCGUAUCGACCCGG